RNAcentral lists this unclassified non-coding RNA (378 nucleotides) under uncultured Muribaculaceae bacterium. RNAcentral's name for it is "contains 16S-23S intergenic spacer region". Lineage: Bacteria; Pseudomonadati; Bacteroidota; Bacteroidia; Bacteroidales; Muribaculaceae. The record is from RNAcentral.
UCGCAGCUUGCGCCGGCAGUCCCGCCAGAGUCCCCAGCUUGACCUGCUGGUAACUGGCGGUGGGGGUUGCGCUCGUUAUGGCACUUAAGCCGACACCUCACGGCACGAGCUGACGACAACCAUGCAGCACCUCGGCACAGGCCCCGAAGGGCCACCUCCUUUCAGAAGUGUUCCUGUGCCGUUUGAGCCCGGGUAAGGUUCCUCGCGUAUCAUCGAAUUAAACCACAUGUUCCUCCGCUUGUGCGGGCCCCCGUCAAUUCCUUUGAGUUUCACCGUUGCCGGCGUACUCCCCAGGUGGGAUACUUAACGCUUUCGCUGUACCACCCAGGCCCCAUUCGGCCCGGACAGUCAGUAUCCAUCGUUUACUGCGUGGACUAC